GGUGAACGCUAGCUAUAGGCUUAACACAUGCAAGUCGAGGGGAAACGGCAUGAGAUGCUUGCAUCUUAUGGACGUCGACCGGCGUACGGGUGAGUAACGCGUAUCCAACCUGCCCGCGAGUAGGGGAUAACCCGCAGAAGUGCGGACUAAUACCCUAUAUAGUCCAAAGAUGCCAUCAGAUUUGGACGAAAGAUUUAUCGCUCGCGGAUGGGGAUGCGUCUGAUUAGCUAGUUGGUAAGGUAACGGCUUACCAAGGCGACGAUCAGUAGCCGACCUGAGAGGGUGACCGGCCACAUUGGGACUGAGACACGGCCCAA
This 317-nucleotide ribosomal RNA is filed under the name uncultured bacterium. RNAcentral's name for it is "bacterial SSU rRNA". It matches the Rfam family "Bacterial small subunit ribosomal RNA", at positions 28 to 334 of the family's 1533-position model. The record is from RNAcentral.